GAAGCCAGGUCAGUUUCUAUCUUCUUUCAUUAAAAUUUAGGCGGUAGGGUACGAAAGGACAUUCGGCUUUAGAGUAACAAACUGUCAGUGCUGAAUUUAAAAUAA
RNAcentral lists this ribosomal RNA (105 nucleotides) under Mizuhopecten yessoensis (Yesso scallop). RNAcentral's name for it is "partial 16S rRNA". The record is from RNAcentral. Lineage: Eukaryota; Metazoa; Mollusca; Bivalvia; Pectinida; Pectinidae.